CCCUUAGAUGUUCUGGGCCGCACGCGCGCUACAAUGAUGAAUUCAACGAGUUUAUAACCUUGGUUGAAAAGCCUGGGUAAUCUUUUGAACUUUCGUCGUGAUGGGGCUAGACCCUUGCAAUUAUUGGUCUCCAACGAGGAAUUCCUAGUAAACGCAAGUCAUCGGCUUGCAUUGAUUACGUCCCUGCCCUUUGUACACACCGCCCGUCGCACCUACCGAUUGAAUGGUCCGGUGAAAUCUUCGGAUUGAGACUUUGAUUUCUUCACGGAAAACGCUGUUUUAAGAAGUUGAUUAAACCUUACCAUUUAGAGGAAGGUGAAGUCGUAACA
Molecule: ribosomal RNA, 329 nt
Filed under: uncultured eukaryote
Lineage: Eukaryota
Description: partial 18S ribosomal RNA
Rfam family: Eukaryotic small subunit ribosomal RNA
Source: RNAcentral